RNAcentral lists this non-coding RNA (31 nucleotides) under Homo sapiens (human). The record is from RNAcentral. Lineage: Eukaryota; Metazoa; Chordata; Mammalia; Primates; Hominidae.
UCCCUAGCCUUGAGCUCCAGGUGGUCCCAGC